Long non-coding RNA from Lathyrus oleraceus (garden pea), 807 nucleotides. RefSeq lists it as uncharacterized. The transcript is spliced from 2 exons. The record is from RefSeq and is a predicted model, not a curated record. NCBI's taxonomy places the organism in Eukaryota, Viridiplantae, Streptophyta, Magnoliopsida, Fabales, Fabaceae.
AGCUGCUAAUCACAGCAUAUAUUCCGGUGGUAAUUGUGAUAACAAACAUCAAAGCAAAAACAACACUAGAAUGCUUUGAAUUUUUGACUUCAUUUUCUCUUACUAUAGGAGCUAAUAUGAAGCAAACAACCAUAGCGACUUGGCGAUUAGAUAGAAAGUUUCGUAUGGCGACAACAUAACAGACAGUGUUGAUCCAACAAAUGCUAUUGCCAGCAAGAAAUGUUAGGAAGAACACAUGCCAAUAGGAUAGAUAAGAAAUUUGGUUGGUUAUGAAGAGAUAUUGUAGACCAUAACCGAUUAGUCCGAGAAACGAACCGAUGAUGAGGACGAGCCAGAGAGGGAGGUAAAUAGCAGCAAGGCCGGAAAACCAACCAAAAAGUUUGCCAGCAUCAGAUGCAAAAGCAAGGUUAUUGAGUUCAACUUGUGAAAUGGAGAGAAGUUGUUUUAGCUGGGAAGAAUAAGCUGGGAAAUUAGUGUUUGUUCCAUUUAUGACUUGGAGCCAAAUGAUGGCAACUAGGCUAAGCCAUUGAAGAGUAGAAGAAGGCAUUGUGAAGAAGAAUGAUGAGUAAAACUUGUAAGACAUUAAGAGAGGUUAUAUGGUAUGGUAUGUGUGUGUGAGGGAUUAAAUGUUGAUAAGAAAAAAGAAUGGGCUAGAUGAUUAAGGUGUGCAACAAAGUCAAGAAAUUAAUAUGGUGACACAUGAAAUUGAAUAACGUGGCUGUACCUGUAUGUGUAAAAUGUUGUUCUGUAUUAUGGACAAAAAGUUAUCUUUUAGAUUUAUUGGUUAAAUGAUGUAAAUGCUUUAUA